Molecule: long non-coding RNA, 988 nt
Filed under: Equus caballus (horse)
Lineage: Eukaryota; Metazoa; Chordata; Mammalia; Perissodactyla; Equidae
Description: lncRNA (ENSECAG00000056831.1)
Source: RNAcentral
GGGAGCUGUGACACUCGGGGGCCUUCCAGCCCCUGGGAGAGACUGCCCCUGCCGGGACUGGCCAGUUCCUAAAGACGGUGAACGGCUGUCUUGGGGGCUGGCCUUUCUGGUGCUAGACAACUUCUUCUUUCUCGUUUUCAAAUGUUUGGGAGCCUUUGUGGCCUCCGUGGCUUCAAAUGAACAUUUCCUAGCAGGCAAAUCCAAGGGGAUUGGGGCGGCUUUCUUGAGACACUACUAGCUCCUUUUCCAAGGCUCCUAAGCCAAGCCAGUCUUUUCCCUGCCCUGAAUUGUCCCAGGGCCAGAUCCCAGGCCACCAGACACCGCCCCUCUCGCUCCCCCCUCCAGGACGAUUCCGAUUGGACGACUUUCAACUGUUUGCUCCGCCCCACCACGGAGCCCUUCCUGGAAACCCCAAUAAAGGCUCUGUCUCAGGCCCUCCCCUCUCACUCUUCUCCGCCAACCCUCCCCAGGCCUGCGGCUUCUCCUGGGUCCCUGCCUGCUGCGUGGCGCCUCUCCCGACCGAAGGAGCGGUGGCUGCGCUGCGAGCCCCCGCUGGCGAAAAGUCCUCCGACCCGGACUGAUCUGGGCCUGUUCCUUUGAAGGCGGAAGUUUGGAAUGCCAACACCCAAGCGAGCCUUCUGGCAAAACCAAGUAAUCAACAGGCACGGGGACUGAACAAUUGAAACAGCUCCUUAGACUGUGCUGUUCCUCUGAGGGGUGAAAGACAUCCGACCGACCAGGCAAAGAGCUCUGAGCUUUCGAGAGGCACCCCGCCCCCAAAGACUGCCCCGGUCAUCUAGGGUUCCAGGUCCCCGCCCUCAGCCCUGUCCUCACCUCCUUGGGCUCUGCGACGUCCAAGGACAUCCUGCCCUCUACGCCUUCCACCUGGCACCCCCACGCCCACCUGCACUUCCUUCCCUCCUUCCAGGCUGCUCCGCAGCCUCUACUUGGUGCGUCCUUCUCAGGCCCUUGCACCUAAUUCCCUGGG